Molecule: long non-coding RNA, 4581 nt
Organism: Cheilinus undulatus (humphead wrasse)
Lineage: Eukaryota; Metazoa; Chordata; Actinopteri; Labriformes; Labridae
Exons: 3
Source: RefSeq, a predicted model, not a curated record
GGGUCCUCCUCCACCCUAAAAUGGGUUCCUGUGGUCUCCGGGUCUUCCUUCACUCAAAAAAGGGUUCUUCCGGGCUCCAGGUCCUCCUCAACCCAAAAAGGGUUCCUCCGGCCUCCGGGUCCUCCUCCACACUAAAGAGUGUUUCUCCAGCCUCCGGGCUCUCCUUUACCCUAAAAUGGGUUCCUGUGCUCUCCGAGUCUUCCCUCACUCAAAAAAGGGUUCUUCUGGCCUCAGGGUCCUCCUCCACCCAAAACUGGUUCCUCCAGCCUCCGGGCUCUCCUCCACCCUGAACAGGAUUUCCUCUAGCCUCCGGGUCCUCCUCCACUCAAAAAGCGUCCCUCCGGCCUCAGGGUCUUCCGACACCCUAAAGAGUGUUCCUCCAGCCUCCGGGCUUUACUACACCAUAAAAAUGGUUUCCUCCGGCCUCAGGGUCCUCCUCCACCCUAAAAUGGGUUCCUGUGGCCUCCGGGUCUUCCUCCACUCAAAACAGGGUUCCUCCGGGCUCCAGGUCAUCCUCAACCCAAAAAGGGUUCCUCCUGGUCCUCCUCCACUCAAAAAUGGUUCCUCCGGCCACUGGGCUCUACUACACCAUAAAAAUGUUUACCUCCGGGCUUCGGGUCCUCCACCACCCAAAAAUUGUCCCUCCGGCCUCCGGGUCCUCCUCCACCCUAAAGGGUUUCUCUGGCCUCCGGGUCCUCCUCCACCCUAAAGGGUUCCUCUGGCCUCCGGGUCCUCCUUUACUCAAAAAAGGUUCCUUCGGCCUCCAGGUCUUCCUCCACCCAAAAAUGGUCCUUCCGGCCUCAGGGUCCUCCUCCCCCCUGAAGGGUUCCUCUGGCCUCCGGGUCCUCCUUCACUCAGAAAGGGGUUCGCCGGGUCCUCCACCACCCAAUAAUGGUCCCUCCGGGUCCUCUUCCACCUUAAAGGGUUCCUCUGGCCCCCGGGUCCUCCUACACCCAAAAAGGGUUCCUCCAGUGUCUGGGUCUUCCUCCACCCUAAAAUGGCUUCCUCUGACUUUCGGGUCCUCCUUCACCCUAAAGAGUGUUUCCCCUGGCCUCUGGGCUCUACUACACCCUAAAGAGUGUUCCUCUGGGCUCUACUACAUAAAAACGGUUUCCUCUAGCCUCAGGGCUCUCCUCCACCCUGAACAGGGUUUCCUCUAGCCUUUAGGUCCUCCUCCACCCAAAAAGGCUUCCUCUGGCCUCCGGGUCCUCCUCCACCCCUUAGAGGGUCUUUUUGCUAGGAGGGUUCACCUCCACCCUUCAGUGGGUUCCCCUGGCCUUCUGCUACACUUCUAUCCUGCAGCAGGUAGGUCACCAUCAGCAGUUGAGUUUAUUCAGUUCCUAAAUGCUGCAUGGUUGAUCACUUACAACCACCACAAUAAAUAACUAGAAAAACGAUGGCAAAACAAUAUUCUCAAGGUCCUUUAAGGAAAUAUGGACCAACUAUGGAACAACAACAAAAAACAAUAUUCUCAAAGAGCUUCCAGGAAAUAUGGACCAACUAUGGAAAAAAAUAUAUAUAUUUAUUCUCAAAGAGCUUGCAAGGAAAUAUGGACCAACUGUGGAACAACAACAACAAAAAAACAAUAUUCUCAAAGAGCUUCCAGGAAAUAUGGACCAACUAUAGAAAAAAAAAUAUAUUUAUUUUCAAAGAGCUUCCAAGGAAAUAUGGACCAACUGUGGAACAACAACAAAAAACAAAAUUCACAAAGGGCUUUUAAGGAAAUUUGGACAAACAAUAGAACAACAAAAUUCAAAUUGCCCUUAGGAAAAUAUCACAUCAUUAGCAGGUUUUUCAAGGAAACUAUAGAACAGCAACAAAAACAUUCACAAGAUGCUCUGGAAGGAACUACAGCCUAGCACCGAGGGAGAAUUGUGACAGCCAGCAAGGCAUCAGACCUUGUUUUUAUCGGUCCUACUAGGGGUCACCCAGCAAUAUGAAGAUAAGGAAAUGAUGAAGAACACGACAAUAAGACCCAGAAGCCAUGGUGUAUACUGAUAACUUGUCUUGUUUAUGUGUGUACUGUACUGGUUGUGUUUGCAGUCCUUUGUGUAUUUGUAUAUCUCUCUGCUGGUCUUAAGAAGUUGCCAAAAUGCCAAAUGCUGCAGAAUUGGGCAUUUUGGCAAAACAUUUCAGGGACGCGCUGCUGCUGUUUUACAUCAUGGGGUCUACAAGGAGACGGUCUUGGGUUCCUCAGUCCACAUGAGAAGUUGAGCCAGGCAUCCUCGUGCUGGGGACCAUAGCAGAAGUGUUCAUCCUAUAAGAAGACCCCGAUGCCCUCCAUCUCCAAUGGGAUGCUGAGCCAGGAUUCAGAUUGAGUCGUCAACUAACCACCGGAUACCUGAAGCCAUUGGAGGCCAGAGCUGCUGUAACGUAGAUCCGACAGCAACAAGUGCUUGCAGGUCCUGCCAGUAUCAGCCCUGACUCCAGAGGGACUGUGCAAACUGCAAGAGACUUCGGGUCAUCUUCAACCUGAGCCCCAGUCUGGAGAGGAUCCCGACUUUGUGGAAGACUUCCUGCAUGGUUUCGGUCCUGAUGACGUCGCAUCUCAGGGAGCUGAACCACUUCAGACCCUCGCCUUUCAUCUGAUGAAGUCCAAGAGGAGAUCAACCUUGGCACACCAGUCCCCUGGUGAGCUUGAGCCUGGACCCCCUGCAGCUUACCUACCAGCCUGAGAUCAGGGUGGACAAUGCUGUCGUCUACCUGCUACACAGGUCCCUGGUUCACCUGGAGAACCCCAGCAGUGCUGUGAGGGUCAUGUUCUUUGACUUCUCCAGUGGAGUACAGGCAGAUCUUUGUUGGCAGAGACUGGACAUUAAGAGGAUGGAGAUGUACAAAUACCUGGGUGUUGGACUGGUCACCCCUGCACCUGCUGAGGAGACCGAGGUCCUUUGGAGCAUGCAGGACUCUUGUUAUGGACAUUUUAGAUGGCGUGAUGGCGUUUGCUCUCCUUCAUGCAGUGGUUGGCUGUGGAGGAGGGAGCAGAGAAAAAGACUAAACUGGUCAGGAGGGGCAGGUCUGUCCUGGACUGUUCCCUGGACUCUGAGGAGGAUGCUGGCCAAGCUGGCAUCCAUCAUGGACAAUCCCUCUCACCCUCUGCAUAACACUGUUGAGGCCUGAGCAGCCCCUUCAGCCAAAGACUGUUACACCGUCCUUUUAAGGUGUGCUAGAUCAUUCAAGCCAGGGACAGGCAACUUUGGUUACCAAGGGAACCACAUAAAUUCUGUUUUUCUUUCCUGAGGGCAACAUUGUUUUAAAUAGUCAGAUAGGACUGUUGUAAUAACUUAUAACCAGGGCUUUCGAGAGUAACUGCAUUAAUUAUUAUGCAUAAUUAGUGCCUUAUUAUUUUAAUACAGGGUAUUCUCACACUUAAUUGUCUCUUUCAACACACUUUGGUUCAGCUUUUUCAAUGUCUCCCAACAGCCACAGUUCUAAAAUAUAAGUCGAUCACUGAUCCUCAUUUUUUUUACUUCACUUUUAAAAACUCAGACAGUUCAGUGGACAAGUCAAAAGUCAUCUGCACCUAAUGUUAUCAAACGUUUACCUUCACCUGGAAUUUAAAUUGUGAUUAAUGUGAUUAAACAUUACAUGAUUAAUUGCAAUUAACUGCAGGGAUUCUGAGAUUAAUCCCGAUUAAAAAUGUUGAUCAUUUGACAGCCCUACUUACAAAUAUAUUUCAUCAAAUGUAAUGAACCAGCAUUUAUGUUUUAAAAGCUUGAAUGCAAACAGAAAAUCUUACUGAGUUAACAUAAAAUAAAACAGGAUUUCAGCUUCUUAAAUGGCAGGAUCAGUUUUUUGUGUUUUUUUUUUUUGUUUUUUUUUGCUGAAGUAUCUUUGAUUUGCAUCUCCUUUCCCUCCAAAUGCAUUUGUUAAUGCUUCUUUAAAGGGUUUAACUGAAACAAAUACAGUCGGUUCACUUCAUUAAUUUCCUACAAAGAACAAAACAUGCACUAGUAAUCCUGUUUUACAAGAUUAUAUUUAAAUAUUUCUGUUGCAUAUUUUUCUAAACAGUGUAUGCUGUUGUGCAUGUGGAUUUACUUCUUGGCUGAUGAUCUCAUGUUUACAGUUUGACAGUAGAAAUUUGCCCAAGUUCUCUUCUAUUUUAACUCAUAUACAGUAGAUAUAAGAGCUUACAUAAAUGUGAAUAUGCUUUUAUGUCUGUUUGUACAAAUAUGUAUGUGAACACUGUCCCACAGAUGUUACAGCCAGCUAUCCAAAAGUCUUUGCUCCUCAACACGUUUAAUUAUUGAUAAUACUAUUACAGUUUAGGAUGUGUAAUGUUACCUGGAUAUUUUUCCCUCAUUUAAAUUGGUACCAUUCACACUGUUUUCUUCAAAUCUGGUCUUGAUUCUUCCACAAGUCAAAGUGUGCAUGUGUACAUUAGUAAAUAAGACUAUCAUAUCACUUUUUGUCAUAUGGUGUUGAAGUGUUUUUGGCACUUUUCCCCUUUUUUGUUUUUUUUUUGUGUUAAUGUAUUUAUUAAAGAGUGCAAGUGUUACAAACAUUCCUAGUUUACAUUUUGCUUUUGUUAAAUAUUUGUUGGUUCUGUUUCCCUCUACUUUGAGCUAAUGCCAUAACCAA